AUGAAGCUGGAUUCGCUAGUAAUCGCGCAUCAGCCACGGCGCGGUGAAUACGUUCCCGGGCCUUGUACACACCGCCCGUCAAGCCAUGGAAGCCGGGGGUGCCUGAAGUGCGCUGCCGCAAGGAGCGUCCUAGGGUAAAACCGGUGACUGGGGCUAAGUCGUAACAAGGUACC
This 173-nucleotide ribosomal RNA is filed under the name uncultured bacterium. RNAcentral describes it as "partial 16S ribosomal RNA". It matches the Rfam family "Bacterial small subunit ribosomal RNA", at positions 1320 to 1500 of the family's 1533-position model. The record is from RNAcentral.